RNAcentral lists this ribosomal RNA (253 nucleotides) under uncultured bacterium. RNAcentral's name for it is "partial 16S ribosomal RNA". It matches the Rfam family "Bacterial small subunit ribosomal RNA", at positions 524 to 776 of the family's 1533-position model. The record is from RNAcentral.
UACGAAGGGGGCUAGCGUUGUUCGGAAUUACUGGGCGUAAAGCGCACGUAGGCGGACUAUUAAGUCAGGGGUGAAAUCCCGGGGCUCAACCCCGGAACUGCCCUUGAUACAGCACGUCUUGAGUCCGGAAGAGGUGGGUGGAAUUCCUAGUGUAGAGGUGAAAUUCGUAGAUAUUAGGAAGAACACCGGUGGCGAAGGCGGCCCACUGGUCCGGUACUGACGCUGAGGUGCGAAAGCGUGGGGAGCAAACAGG